UAUACCCAACAAAAUUUUGAAAUUCAGGAAACUAUAUUGAAAUCGCAAGCCAACAUGUUUUCAGUAUCAAAGCUCACACCUCAGUUAACAUAUAAAUAUUAAGAGUAACCUGAUUUCUUUUAAGUAGAAAUUGACAUUGUUUACUGAAUACCUUUUUUGCAACUUGAUACCACUAAAUUCACAAGUUUAAAAAAUUACAAUUCUGUAGGAAGUUCAAGAUGGUUUUCCCAAUUGCUCAUGUUUCCAUUCAGUCUAUUUCUCUUUAAAACAUCUGGAUGUUUGUUUUUUAAAGCCCAUUUUGUAAUAUUUUAUUUUAAAAAUGAUUUUCAAAAAUGAAGCCUAAGAGAACGGAGUGUAAAGGAGUGGGGGUGGGGCGAGGAGAGAAGGCAAAGAUGGGCCCGGCAGGGAAAGGCUGGUCACUGGGUAUUUUCCUUCUGGAAGCAUGCUUUAUUGGCAAAGGCAUCUGAAGUAACGAGCCAUACAAACACGACCCAAGAACGAGAACGAUCACGAGUAAUGAGUGGUAAGGCAUAAAUGUCUAAGAUGGAAAUGAAUUGGCACUGAUCAUCAAGCAGCACCAGAUGCUUCGAGACCUCGUAGAGGAAAGGUGAGAGGUCCAAGAAACAGAGGAGACCGCUGCCACCCUUCACGGAAGGGAAGAAACCAAGCAGUAACUACCGUUCAGCUGUCCAAAGAAGCCUGAACGGUACAGAGCACAAGAAAGCCAGCAAGUGACUGGGGGAAAGGCACACACCCUGGCGAGUCCGAAGACGGGUGUGCAGUGUGCAAAUACUACACGGGUCCAUGAAAUGGUCUGGGUAAGGGGAUGUGGGUGUGGGUAAGGGGCUACCGCAGGCGUCUCACGGUCCCCUCCCUGCAGCAGAGCAACAGAGGGUAAAAGAAGGGGGAGGGUGAAAAGCAAGAAUGACUCAUUACCAAAAGGAAGUGCUCAAGCCAUAGGAAGGCAUGCCACAGGGGAUUUCAGGGCGAGGACUGUGAGGAGCUAGGUGCUCAGGGUGAUAGGGGCAAAACCCAACGUCCUGUAGUUCCUGCUGCUUGUCUUUAAGAUGGGGGUGUGGGGGGGUUCGCGGCAGCUGAGCGCCAAGGCCUGGGAAGCGGCGCGGCGCGUGCGCAGUGGCGUUCGGCGGGACCCGCUGAGGCAAAGCGGAGCCGCAGUGACAGAAGCAAGCACAGCGGCCGUCAGGAGGGACUCACCGAGGCGCAGGGGCUGGAGGUGGUGCUGGGGUAACAGACUCAAGAAAUUCUUUUGGAAGAUGAGAGGGUUAAAUCCAUUGACCUUACAGUUGGAAGAGCACUACUGUAGGAGUCAGAAGACCUGGUUUCUAGUUCCUGCUCUGUAAAACCUCAGGAAAAUGGCUUGACCUUUUUCGACUUUAGUUCCUCCUUCUCGACAAUGGAACCCUAACUUACAGGAUUUUUGAAAUAAGAGACAGAAUCUUGCUCUGUUGCCCAGGCUAGAGUACAGUG
Molecule: long non-coding RNA, 1488 nt
Organism: Microcebus murinus (gray mouse lemur)
Lineage: Eukaryota; Metazoa; Chordata; Mammalia; Primates; Cheirogaleidae
Source: RefSeq, a predicted model, not a curated record